Non-coding RNA from Oryza sativa Japonica Group (Japanese rice), 417 nucleotides. The record is from RefSeq and is a predicted model, not a curated record. NCBI's taxonomy places the organism in Eukaryota, Viridiplantae, Streptophyta, Magnoliopsida, Poales, Poaceae.
UUCCGGUUCUCUCUGUGUACGUAGGUGUGUUCUGAAAUUUCAUAUUCAGCGUUGUAUAUAUGUACUACUCGAUCGAGCUUCAUCGAGCUGUGCGAGUUCAGGAAAGAAGCAGUUCAGGAAUUUAGGCACAGCUCGUCGAUCGAGCUGUGCGAGUUCCACCAGGAAAGCCAUACACACCGAUACAUGCAUGCACCUAUCAAGCAGCUUCACAUCUAGACCAUGCAGUUAAUUGUACAGUACUCACCAUGAGUACUACAGUAAAAUUGUGGAGAGGAGGGGGACAAGAUCGGCUGGCGAAUGGCGAUCCAUCUGCAAGCUACUGACGUACAAUUACUCUCCCAUCUCGCGAACGCCGAACGGCCGGCCAUCAAGGGUGUGUUUAGAUCACGCUAAAAUUAAAAGUUUGGUUAAAAUUGA